UGGGGAAUAUUGCACAAUGGGCGCAAGCCUGAUGCAGCCAUGCCGCGUGUAUGAAGAAGGCCUUCGGGUUGUAAAGUACUUUCAGCGGGGAGGAAGGCGAUAAGGUUAAUAACCUUGUCGAUUGACGUUACCCGCAGAAGAAGCACCGGCUACCUCCGUGCCAGCAGCCGCGGUAAUACGGAGGGUGCAAGCGUUAAUCGGAAUUACUGGGCGUAAAGCGCACGCAGGCGGUCUGUCAAGUCGGAUGUGAAAUCCCCGGGCUCAACCUGGGAACUGCAUUCGAAACUGGCAGGCUAGAGUCUUGUAGAGGGGGGUAGAAUUCCAGGUGUAGCGGUGAAAUGCGUAGAGAUCUGGAGGAAUACCGGUGGCGAAGGCGGCCCCCUGGACAAAGACUGACGCUCAGGUGCGAAGGCGUGGGGAGCAAACA
Molecule: ribosomal RNA, 427 nt
Filed under: uncultured bacterium
Lineage: Bacteria
Description: partial 16S ribosomal RNA
Rfam family: Bacterial small subunit ribosomal RNA
Source: RNAcentral